Long non-coding RNA from Athene cunicularia (burrowing owl), 406 nucleotides. RefSeq lists it as uncharacterized. The transcript has 4 exons. NCBI's taxonomy places the organism in Eukaryota, Metazoa, Chordata, Aves, Strigiformes, Strigidae. The record is from RefSeq and is a predicted model, not a curated record.
AAGCAGAGGGAAGGAGUAGCUGCCAGUGAUGUGGUGCAGCUGCUGUGGCUGUUCUCAGUGUGGUGAUAACCCUGUUCUGGCUUAGCAGAGGAGGUGAGGGAAGAUGCAGCCCUGCUUGUUGCUUGUGGUCAUAAGCAAGAGGGUGAACUUCUGAAGCGGCGGCCUGGCGCAGGGUUGGAGCUGGGGCUGGGGACACGCUGCCAAAGGUUGAUACUCUGUGAUGCAGGAAAACAACCAAGUGUAAAGCAAAUGUGAGAAGAACAAAGAGAAAGCUCCUGUCCUCGCAGGGCAGAGAAGCUUUAGCUAUAAAGAAUGUGGCUUCCUCAUCCCCAUCUGAAGUAUUUUGAUAAAAUGAGAGACAGUGUGACCAUGGACCUUUAUUUCCCCCCUCAGGGCUGCAGGUCUG